AACAAAUUCACAGAAUAUUCACAAAGAGAUCAACGAUCUGAAAAUACCCAAUAAAUUCAUGGGAUAUUCAUAAAGAUCAAAACCCUCUCUUCUUAAUAAUCAAAUACAUUAAGAAGAUAAACCCUCCUUUCACGGAGAUCAAAUUCAAAUGUUCCUAUGUUCGAGAAAUACGCCACUAACGGCUCUCAAAUUACGGAGAAAUUCAUAUCCAAAUCUUCUUCCUACAUUCGAGAAAUACGCCACUGACGGCCCUCGAAUUAAGGAAAAAAUCGAGAGAGAAAAAUCAAGGGAGGAACAAGUUUAACAAGAAGCAAGAGAGAGCACGUGGAUCAAAACAAUAGAUUUCUGUACAAAUUCAAGAACAAGCUCAGGAUUUCAAGAUCAAGAGUUCAAGGUUCAAGAACAAGUUCAAGAUUUCAAGAUCAAGAGUUCAAGAUUCAAGAACAAGUUCAAGCUUCAAGAUCAAGACUACAAGAUUCAAGAACAAGCUCAACGACCCUUGAAUUUAAGUACAAGUCGAGAUCAAGUUCAUCAAGUCUUCAAUUCAAGUUCAAGUUCAAGUUCAAGAUCAAGACCGCAAGAUUCAAGAACAAGCUACCAAGCCCUUGGAUUCAAGCACAAGUCAAGAUCAAAUCCGUCAAGUUCAAGCUCGAAAUCCUUGAAUUUAUAGUUGAAAAGGCGAAUUAGAG
This 689-nucleotide long non-coding RNA is filed under the name Capsicum annuum. RNAcentral describes it as "long non-coding RNA (CANN_LNC004249)". Lineage: Eukaryota; Viridiplantae; Streptophyta; Magnoliopsida; Solanales; Solanaceae. The record is from RNAcentral.